RNAcentral lists this ribosomal RNA (301 nucleotides) under uncultured bacterium. RNAcentral describes it as "partial 16S ribosomal RNA". It matches the Rfam family "Bacterial small subunit ribosomal RNA", at positions 509 to 807 of the family's 1533-position model. The record is from RNAcentral.
CAGUAGCCACGGUAAAACGUAGGUGGCAAGUGUUGUCCGGAAUUAUUGGGCGUAAAGGGCUCGCAGGCGGUUUCUUAAGUCUGAUGUGAAAGCCCCCGGCUCAACCGGGGAGGGUCAUUGGAAACUGGGAAACUUGAGUGCAGAAGAGGAGAGUGGAAUUCCACGUGUAGCGGUGAAAUGCGUGGAGAUGUGGAGGAACACCGGUGGCGAAGGCGGCUCACUGGUCCGGAACUGACGCUGAGGCACGACAGCGUGGGGAGCAAACAGGAUUAGAUACCCCGGUAGUCCCUGUCUCUUAUAC